RNAcentral lists this non-coding RNA (22 nucleotides) under Arabidopsis thaliana (thale cress). The record is from RNAcentral. Lineage: Eukaryota; Viridiplantae; Streptophyta; Magnoliopsida; Brassicales; Brassicaceae.
CUGCUCAUUCAAGGACAAGCCA